Non-coding RNA from Triticum aestivum (bread wheat), 134 nucleotides. The record is from Rfam. NCBI's taxonomy places the organism in Eukaryota, Viridiplantae, Streptophyta, Magnoliopsida, Poales, Poaceae.
GUAGUAUUCCCUCCGUCCCAAAAUUGUUGUCUUACAUUUGUUUAGAUAAGGAUCUUCUAACACUAAAAUGUAACUAGAUACAUCCGUAUUUAGACAAAUUUAAGACAGGAAUUUUGGGUCGGAGGGAGUACAAA